UACGAAGGGGGCUAGCGUUGCUCGGAAUCACUGGGCGUAAAGCGCACGUAGGCGGCUUCUUAAGUCAGGGGUGAAAUCCUGGAGCUCAACUCCAGAACUGCCCUUGAUACUGAGAGGCUCGAGUCCGGGAGAGGUGAGUGGAACUCCGAGUGUAGAGGUGAAAUUCGUAGAUAUUCGGAAGAACACCAGUGGCGAAGGCGGCUCACUGGCCCGGUACUGACGCUGAGGUGCGAAAGCGUGGGGAGCAAACCGG
This 253-nucleotide ribosomal RNA is filed under the name uncultured bacterium. Its description in RNAcentral is "partial 16S ribosomal RNA". It matches the Rfam family "Bacterial small subunit ribosomal RNA", at positions 524 to 776 of the family's 1533-position model. The record is from RNAcentral.